This 253-nucleotide ribosomal RNA is filed under the name uncultured bacterium. RNAcentral's name for it is "partial 16S ribosomal RNA". It matches the Rfam family "Bacterial small subunit ribosomal RNA", at positions 524 to 776 of the family's 1533-position model. The record is from RNAcentral.
UACGAAGGGGGCUAGCGUUGUUCGGAAUUACUGGGCGUAAAGGGCGCGUAGGCGGUCCUGAUCGUCGGAUGUGAAAGCCCUCGGCUCAACCAAGGAAGUGCAUCCGAAGCUGCUGAGCUUGAGUACUUAAGAGGAUCGCGGAAUUCCCGGUGUAGAGGUGAAAUUCGUAGAUAUCGGGAGGAACACCGGUGGCGAAGGCGGGUCUCUGGGCCGAUACUGACGCUGAGGAGCGAAAGCGUGGGGAGCGAACAGG